This 258-nucleotide unclassified non-coding RNA is filed under the name Hevea brasiliensis (rubber tree). The record is from RNAcentral. Lineage: Eukaryota; Viridiplantae; Streptophyta; Magnoliopsida; Malpighiales; Euphorbiaceae.
GAAGAGAGAUCGGUAAUGAAUUGAAUAACAUGGAGACUUGGUGUUGGUUUGACCUCCUUUAACGAGAGGUCGAAAAUGAGAUUGGAUGGCAUGAAGACUUGAUAUUGGUUUGAUCUUUUUGACGAGAGGUCGGAAAUGAAUCGACUAGAUGGGGGAUCGGUUUAUUUUCUAAUCGAGUCAUUCGCAACCGAAGAAUGUCGGGCGGUGCUUGAUCCCAAAGUCCAUUGACUUCGAGGGAUCGGCUAAAAUAUGGUGUCG